UACGACUCUCGGCAACGGAUAUCUAGGCUCUCGC
This 34-nucleotide ribosomal RNA is filed under the name Oldenlandia corymbosa. RNAcentral describes it as "partial 5.8S ribosomal RNA". The record is from RNAcentral. RNAcentral also lists the same sequence under 2 other names. Lineage: Eukaryota; Viridiplantae; Streptophyta; Magnoliopsida; Gentianales; Rubiaceae.